UGGGCAGCAUCACCAUCUUCAUCAACUCCCCGACAAUCGAUGAUCUUGGAGCACUCUAUUAGUUGUUUUGAUGUGCAUCCCAAGAGUGAUGUAGGCCUCUCUGAAAGAAUCUGAGGGACCAUAAUCAGCGGUGAAGGUGGGAGGCACUGGAGCCUUCCUCCGAUCGGCAUCUCUCCGACCAGUUGUUCGAUCGCCACCUGACUUGUCUUAAGUCAGCAAGGC
Molecule: long non-coding RNA, 222 nt
Filed under: Elaeis guineensis (African oil palm)
Lineage: Eukaryota; Viridiplantae; Streptophyta; Magnoliopsida; Arecales; Arecaceae
Description: long non-coding RNA (EGUI_LNC027545)
Source: RNAcentral